RNAcentral lists this ribosomal RNA (1535 nucleotides) under Acholeplasma laidlawii. RNAcentral describes it as "partial 23S ribosomal RNA". It matches the Rfam family "Bacterial large subunit ribosomal RNA", at positions 1360 to 2925 of the family's 2925-position model. Lineage: Bacteria; Bacillati; Mycoplasmatota; Mollicutes; Acholeplasmatales; Acholeplasmataceae. The record is from RNAcentral.
GAAGGUUCGUCCGCCCUGGGUAAGUCGGGGCCUAAGGUGAGGCUGAAGAGCGUAGCCGAUGGAUAACUAGUAGAGAUUCUAGUACCAGUGUAGUGACUGAUGGAGUGACAAAGAAGGAUAGGCGUCCACCCUUAAUGGAUUGGGUGAGAAGGAUUCGAGGCUAGUACUUAGGCAAAUCCGGGUACUGUUAAAGCUGAGAACUGAUAUAAAGACGUACGAGUUCAUGCUUUCAAGAAAAGCUUCUAAGGUUAAUCAUUAUACUGCCCGUACCGUAAACCGACACAGGUGGGUGAGUAGAAUAUAUUAAGACGCGCGAGAAAACUGUUGUUAAGGAACUCGGCAAAUUGACCCCGUAACUUCGGGAAAAGGGGGACUCCUUAUGAAAACGAGGAGUCGCAGAGAAAAGGCCCAAGCGACUGUUUAGCAAAAACACAGGUCUCUGCAAAACCGUAAGGUGAAGUAUAGAGGCUGACGCUUGCCCGGUGCUGGAAGAUUAAGAGGAGAUGUCAGGGUUAAACCGAAGCAUUGAAUUGAAGUCCCAGUAAACGGCGGCCGUAACUAUAACGGUCCUAAGGUAGCGAAAUUCCUUGGCGGGUAAGUUCCGUCCUGCACGAAAAGCGUAACGAUUUGGGCACUGUCUCAACAACAGACUCGGUGAAAUCAAGCUGCCGGUGAAAACGCCGGCUACCCGCGAUUAGACGAAAAGACCCCAUGGAGCUUCACUGUAACUUGAUAUUGAAACUGGGUGUAAGAUGUACAGGAUAGGUGGGAGGCUAUGAAGAUAGUACGCUAGUAUUGUCGGAGCCAACGUUGGGAUACCACCCUUCGUGCACUUAGUUUCUAACUUCUAGAUGUGUAAUCUAAAGGACAGUGUCUGGUGGGCAGUUUGACUGGGGCGGUCGCCUCCCAAAGAGUAACGGAGGCGCUCGAAGGUUACCUCAGAAUGGUUGGAAAUCAUUCUAUAGAGUGCAAUGGCAGAAGGUAGCUUGACUGCGAGACCAACAAGUCGAGCAGGGACGAAAGUCGGACAUAGUGAUCUUACGGUACCGAAUGGAAGGGCCGUGACUCAACGGAUAAAAGUUACCCUGGGGAUAACAGGCUUAUCGCUUCCAAGCGUUCACAGCGACGAAGCGGUUUGGCACCUCGAUGUCGGCUCGUCGCAUCCUGGAGCUGGAGUAGGUUCCAAGGGUUGGGCUGUUCGCCCAUUAAAGCGGCACGCGAGCUGGGUUCAGAACGUCGUGAGACAGUUCGGUCUCUAUCUAUCGUGGGCGUUGGAAAUUUGAAGGGAGCUGUUCCUAGUAUGAGAAGACCGGAAUGGACGCACCCCUGGUGCACCAGUUAGUACGCCAGUACUACAGCUGGGUAGCUAUGUGCGGAAGGGAUAAACGCUGAAAGCAUCUAAGCGUGAAGCCCCCCUUAAGAUGAGAUUUCCCAAUUAGUAAGACCCCUCAAAGACUAUGAGGUUGAUAGGCCAGGUGUGUAAGUACAGCGAUGUAUUCAGCUUACUGGUACUAAUAGGUCGAGGACUUAACCUU